RNAcentral lists this long non-coding RNA (9299 nucleotides) under Gossypium barbadense (sea-island cotton). RNAcentral describes it as "long non-coding RNA (GBAR_LNC018727)". Lineage: Eukaryota; Viridiplantae; Streptophyta; Magnoliopsida; Malvales; Malvaceae. The record is from RNAcentral.
GUUGUCUUCGUAUACUUUUCCAUAUUUUAUUUCCAGGUCAUUAAUAUUGCUUGAUUUCUCUCGAAAAUGUGUAUCAACCUCCGGCGGCAGCAUUUUCACCCACCCCUAGGUAUUAAAAAAAAAGAAAAAGAAUAUGCACAAAGAUCACAUUUGCAUGUGUUAUAUAUACACACGCAGACGCACACAUAUAUCACCAAUAUAGUCUCUCUCAACCUCAAGUCUCCAUAUAUAUAUAUACACAUAAUUAUCAAUUGUAGAAAGAUUGAUUCAAAACCACUUUUUUAUUUUUUAUUUUUGCUGUGUUAGUGGUUAGUAACCUUGGAGUUAUGACAUUUGGUACUUAAAACCCUCCGAUUUCAGAUUUCUUGGUUUCAUAGACAACAAUUCUUCAAGUCCGUUGGAUGACAUACGAAAUGCCUUAGCAAAGUCAUCACGUGGAGUUAUAAGAAGCAAGCUACAACAACAUUACCAACCUAAGAAGCUGAGUACGUCGCUACAACUUCAGCUACUUGUUAAGCUAUUUGGCUAAGAAUGGUGUUAAUAGAUCUUCAACAAUAACAAAUGGAGAAAUAAAGAUAUUUUGUGAGAACAAAACAACAAUCUUUGUGAUAAAUAACUUAAUAUUUUAUUGGGAUCUAGUGCUCUUAUUGUAGUAAUAUCGUUAAAUGUAUUUGAAAAUUUUCAAACAUAUUGAUUUAAUAAAAUUCUUUCUAUCAUUCUCAUUAAAAUUUAUUUUUGCAUACAAAGUAAAAUGUAAGCAAAUAUUAAUUCACUAAUUAUUUAAUAUUUAACUAAUAUUAAGUUGUAUUAUGUGGUUAGAUAGUAAUACAAUAAGAUAACUUAUAUUAGUAGAUAAUCUAAAUAGUUCAUUAGAAGACAAUUAUGUCGUCUAUCAAGUCCAAUUAGAGAGGCAUUUUGUCUUGAGCAUCGGAGUGAAUGGCUCCUAGAGAUAGAGACAUAAAUGUGAUUGUAUAGACUGGCAAUACAUUGGACAAAACCUAAACAUAAUAAAUUCUAGAUUUUUUAUUGAUUUAUUCGCUUAUGGCAUUCAUUGUGUAACUUAUCUCAAUUUUUAGUAAGUAACGGACUCUAUGCGCAUGACUUACAUACUUUGAUGUAUUAAAAGCCUGAACUCAAUUGGUAAUAGAUUUGGAAGUUGGUAAGUUGGGUAUACAACUUCAGCAUGACAUAGAUUCCCUUACAAUAGUGGAAUCCACAGUCCAAUAAAAGGUAAAUACUAUUCUCUCAUCGACGUUACAUAAUAGAUGAAAAAGUAACAUGGUCAUGAGUCAUUUGUCUAUGACGAAUGAUUUAAUUAUUAUUUAUUAGUAAUUGAUUUUUUUUGAAGAAGAUGUAAUGAUUACCAUGUGACAAAGUAAGACCACAUUGAGUAAACAGAUUUAACCCAAAGAGAUUUAAGAUAUUCGAUAAGGGUAACACAUAGACUUGUCCAUGGGUCAGGCCACACCUAAAAAUUGGGAGGGUCUGAGUAAAAAUAUAGGCCCCAAAAAAAUAGGCUUGGAUAAAAAUAAUGCCCAUUUCUAAACGGUUGGGCCUCAGUAAGUUUUUUUUGCCUGGGCUCGACCCAGCCCGAAUUUGAAAAAAAAUUGGUACUAUUUUUUACUAUUUUUCCAUUAUUUUGCUAUCAUUUCACUAUUAUAUUGGUAUUAUAUUAUUUUUAUUGUUUGGAUAUUGUAUGACUCUUAUUUUAUUAUUAAUUUUGUUACUAAUGUAGAGGUAUUUGCUUGCUAAAUUGCACUUAUUUUAGUGGUAUUUAAGUAUAUAUAUUUACAAUUGUUGGGAAACAUUUACUUUUUUAUGUUUUUAGUGUAUUUUAUAUAUUAUAUUUUUAAAUUUAUUUUUAUAUAAAAAUAAUAUAAAAUUUUUAAUACGGGCAGGCUAGGCUGAGCUCAAUUUUUAGCAUUUUUAUCUGGGCCGGGCUUAGAAAAAUUUUAGGCUCAUUUUUCGGGUUGGGCUGGAGCCUAAAAAAUGGGCCUAAAUUUAUUACUCGACCUAGCAUGAACACGUCCCAACCCAUGGACAACUCUAGUAACACACAUAUGGCAAAGUUAUUGAACAAGCAUUUAAUAAGUAGCUUUCGUAAUUGUAUAUAAUAAGGGAGAACUCAGUCAUGGUACUUUAGUAGGAUGACUCUACGACUAAAUAAUGUUGUAAUUAAUAGACAAAGAGCUGAAACUUAAUUCUAAUUAUUUGAGCCUUAAUUAUAUAUAUUCAAUCGAUCUGUCUUGUAACUCAUUCUGUAACAGCUCGAUUUUGGGUCUAGUUGAAACUGUGAUUUCGGGACCACAAAUCCAACAAGAAAAGUUUUAUUUUUAUUAUAUUUUUAUGGUCUACAAUAUUAUGGGAUUAUUCUGUGAAAAUUUCGUACAAAAAUUUUGACAUUUGGGCACUCAAUUUAGUCAAAAGGACUAAAUCAUAAUAAGUGCAAAACUUGAGUUCUAGAAGCUAUAAGUAUUAAAUAGCUACAGAAUUUUUAGUGGAAGUCCUUAUGUGAAAUUAGCCCAUUAAUAAGUUAGUGGAAGAUAUUUGUUUGGUAUUUUUUAAAAUUAGUUUGAAAAGAAAAGGGCAAAUUGGUAAUUAAGUUAAUAAAGGUAUAAUAAGACAAAAUUUAAAAGCUAUCAUUUUUUUUUCUCUUCUUCAACCGUUUAUGAAGAAAAUGGGCAGCCACGGAUGAGCAAACAUUCAGCCAAGCUUCUGUAGCCCAUUUAGGUACGGUUUUUAUCCUAUUUUUUUUAUGAUUUCUACGUUUUUAGAGUCGUGGUAAUUCGAUUUAGCUAUUCCGUACCUUCGUUUCCAAAACUGUUAAAGUUUGAAAAUUUUUCCAUUGAUUAAUAUAUGUGUAUUUUGAUAAUUGAUGAUAGGAAAUGCAUCCUGCUUGUUAGAUAAACAACAUUUGUAAAAUAAUUUUUGAUAAAAAUGUCGAUUUAGGACUAAAUUGAGAAAUGUGAUAAAUUAUGUGGUAAAAGAGUGAAUAAGUGAAAUAUGUGGGCUGCUAUACGCAUGAAAAAGGUUCAAUUAAGCAUGGGUAGUAAAGAAAUUGAAAGAAAUUCAUUUUACGAGCUUAGGGGGAAAAGUGCAAAUAUGACAAACUUUAGGGGUAAAAAUGUAAUUUUACCAAAAAUGUGAAAUUGAGCUAAUUUGAAUAGCACGAUGAAUAAAUAAUUCAAAUGUUUUGUUAUAGAUCAAGGAAGACGAGAUUCAGACUUAGAAAGGGGGAAAAACAAAAAAUAUGACGAAUAAGUCCUUUUCACCGAUUAAGCUACCAAGGUAAGUUCGUGUGUAAAUAAUGCAACAUCACAUUAUUAUGUAUUUAAUGUUUUCAUAUAGCAUGAAUUGUAUAAUUGCUUUGUGAAUUCGGUUGAUGAUGUUCCAAUAUCGAUUUGAGAUCCCGUAUAAGACCAUAUAUGGGAUAUGACAUCAAUUUGAGAUUUUGUGUAAGACCAUAGCUGGGCUAUUGGCAUCGAUUUGAGAUUUCGUGUAAGACCAUAGCUGGGGCUAUUGGCAUCGAUACGAGAUUUCCAUGUAAGACCAUGUUUGUGACCUGGCAUUGGUACGAUACAUUAUGUAUGAGUUUUCUUGAGUAUCCUUACUAUUCCAAGUGGUUCAACAGGUAAUCCAAAGAUUAUGUUAAAGAAAAGACAAGGUAUAGUCAUGUUGAAAGGAUACAGGUAUGUACGAAAAAUUCAUGAGUAAUGAACUCGAUGUAUAUUAGACAUUUUGGCAAGAAUGUAAAUGAGUAAGUCAUACUUAUAAGAAUGAUCUUGUGAUGACCUUGUGAUUGUAGGUCUAUACUUAUGAGGUAUAAAUAUGUAGUAAAUUUGAUUGAUGAUUGUGUGAGGCUUUUAGGGAAAAUUAAAUUGAGACAUGAUAUGUUUAAGUCUUUGUUGUUGAUGUAUAGGUGAAAUUGGCCAAUGAAUGACAUGUAAAUACAUGAUAAUUAUUAGCUAUUGGAAUAGCUAGUUAUGGAUAUGCUUUGGUGUUAUGUGUGUCGAAAUAAAUGUUAAUAUAAAGAAAUCAUGAAAGAGUAAAAUUUGCAAUAAAACAGUUUUGGAUAGCAUCAAUUGUAUAAAUUUGAAAAAUCACCAAAAAUUGUGGGACUCAUAUUAGAGGUUGAAUAAAACUUGAAACUAAAUCUUAUUGAGUCUAGUUUCACAUAGAAGAAAUGGUGUAAGCAAAAGAAUCUCAUAUUAUGAGAUAUUUGAAUUUUUUGAGAUAAGGUCAGAAUGAUCUCAGAAUCCCCUGUUCUGACUUUAGAAAAAAAUUAAAAAUUGUAUAAAAAGAAUUAUGGGUUAUAAUUUAUAUGAUUAAAAUUCUUAAUGAGUAUAUUUUUGGGAGAAACAAACGGGAACAUCAUCCGAAUCCCGUACUAAGAUGACUUAAAGAAUAAAUUAAUUUCUUCGAAUUAUUAUUUAAUUGUUUGAAAUUAAAUAAUUAAAGUUUGAAGUGAAAAUUAAAUUAAUUAGUCACUACGUUUUAGUGAACAAACUAAUUAAAUUCAUUUACUCACAGACUAUAGUACGACAAAGUCUUCAUGACUUUAAUGGAAUUAGAAUUGGAUUGAAAAAAUAAAUUAAUUAGAAAAUUAAUUAAAUUAAAUAAUAUUUUUAAGAAAAAAAUUAUUAUUAGAUUGAUAAAUUAUAUAAAUUGAAUUAAAAACUAGAUAACAUAUAUAAUUAAUACCUAAUAUGAAAGGCAGGCCUAAAGGCUCAUCUCAGUAAUAAGGGACAGCUACCCCAAAUUCUAAAGAUGGGUGCAAUUGCCCUAUGUAUUCCCAUGAGAGAAUAUGUGUGUUUAUUUAUUAAAAUAAUAUGAUUUAUUUACCCUUUGUUCAACUGAGACUACUACAUUUUUCUCUAUAUAUAGAUACCAUUGUUUAGGUCAAAGGCACUCCACUAAAGUGUUGAUACUCUGUAACGAUCCAAUUUUCGUUAGUGUUGAAAAAUUCGAUUCAAGGUCGGUUUUAAUUAAAUUGAUUUUAUCAUAAAUUAGAAUUAAAUAAUUACAUGUCAGAUAAGUGAUUUAAUAAUAGUACAAAAACUAAAUUGCAAGUAUCAUUAUUAAUGAUAUAUGCUUAUUAUAGAUUUUGAUCAUAUUUGCUCCUUUUUGACAAAAUGCCUAAAAUUAUCCAUAGCCCCUAACCAAUAAAUAGGAGGAUAAUGCGCUUCAGCGCACUCGAACCUAUGUCCUCCUACAUUGGCAACAAUGCCCAUGACAAUCGAGUUUGUUAGUCCUUGGUUUACAUGAGAACGGGGGAACUUUGUUCAUAACAACAUCCAGAAGAGGUUGGAUAGGAGGUUGCCAAUUCAGCGUGAUGGGAUCUUUUUCUGACUUUUUCACUCAAGCAUUUGCCUAAUUCCAUUUCGAAUCACUGCCCUUUGUUGAUUAAUACUAUGUACUCAUUAUGCUAUAGUGUAAAGUAUUUCGGUUUGAGGCUUGGUGGAUUUUGGAGGAGUCUCGUGAACUGGAAAUUCGUUGUCUCUGGGAGAGCAAUGUGGAUGCAGUUCCCCAUCGACUAUCAUUGUUUUGUUAAAGAUUGAAAUAAAGGGCCGCAAGUUUGUGCACUAGUCGGAAUGGUGAUCUACGUCGCAUGCGCUCUCAUUUAACAAAUGUUAACAUGGUAGACAAAGAUGAUGAGACUUUACUCGAGCUUUUGAGCACAAAAAUUGAGUUGAAUUUAGAGGUUAACAAGAAAGAGUUGUAUUGGGAACAAAGGGCUCGAGUUAAUUGGUUGAAGUUGAGGGGAUCGAAAUACAGGGUUUUUUCAUAAAUCCGGCACCCAGAGAAAGAGGGAUAAUAGAGUUGGUUAUUUAAUUUAGGAGGAUGGUCGGUUGGGUGAUCCAAGUCGUGUCUUGGCGAGGGUUGCUCAUUGUAUUACUGUUAAUAUGAAUGUUGCGUUUAUGGCUUAGUUUAUGAGUGCAAAUAUUCUUUUUGCUUUGAAAUCUAUGGCUCCAACGAAGGCCUCAGAAUCGGAUGGGCUUCCUAUUUUGUUUUAUAAAAAAUACUGGCAUAUCAUUGGUGUUGAUGUUGGUCAAUAUUGUCAUGGCAUCUUAAACAGGGCAUGUCUUUUGCGGCAAUUAAUAUUACUCACAUUGUUCUGAUUUCGAAAGUUUUGAAUCCAACCUGCAGACAACAGUUUCGAUCUAUUAGUUUAUGUGUUGUCUGGUAUAAAAUCAAGUCAAAAGUCCUGGUCAAUAUAUUUCAAUCAGUUUUGCACUUGUGUGUUGAUGAGGCUUAAAGUGCAUUCAUUACUAGGAGGUUGAUUACGAAUAAGCAUUCAUUCCUAGGAGGCUGAUUACGAAUAACAUUAUUUUGGCCUAUGAAAUCUUUAAUGUGUUUUGAUGAAAAAGUAAUGGGACAAAAGGUCACUUUGCCUUAACGUUGAAUAUGAAUAAGGCUUACGAUAGGGUGGAAUGGGAUUUUUUGAAGCAAAUGAUGUUGAAAAUAGGGUUUUCCAACCGCUGGGUGAAUCUUCUUCUUCAUUGUGAUCACUUUAUUACUUACUCAGUGACCAUGAAUGGGGAGGUGGGCCGUCAGUUUUCCCCAGGGCGGGGACGUCGGGAGGGAGACCCACUUAGUCUAUACCUUUUUCUUAUCUGCUAUGAAAGGUUGUCCUCCCUUAUGCAAUAAGCGCUACGUGAUAAUAUGGUUCAUGGGGCUCAAAUUAGUCGUGGAGGCCCACUGAUUUCGCACUUGCUAUUCGCAAAUGAUUGUAUACUUUUUGAGGAGGCCACGAUUGAGGGUGCAUUAGUAUUAAAACAAAUUCUUUCCAUGUAUGGGUGAUCCUUAGGGCAGUGUCUCAAUUUUGACAAGUUCGUUAUUUAUCUCAACUCCAAUGUUGAAGAGUUUCUUGCAGCUUCUAUUUUUACUUGUUUAGGGGUCCGAAUCUAUACUGAGCUUGAGAGGUAUUUGAGAUUGCCUAAUAUGGUAGGGUGUGUUAAACAAUAAGUUUUUCAAGGGUUGAAAGACUGUAUGCGCUCCUAAAUCAAAAAUUGGUGUGUCAAGACGUUGUCUAAAGGUGGGAAGGAAGUUUUUAUCAAGAGCAUCUUACAAGCUAUCCCUACUUUUACUAUGUCUUGUUUUCUAUUACUUGCAUCUUUUUGCACUAAUUUGGAAAAAAUUAAUUAGUCAAUUUUGGUGAAAACAGAAUGGAGGUCGAGGCGGUAUGUAUUGGUGUGCUUGGCCUAAACUAUGCGCUUUGAAGCCCGAUGGUGGCUUGGGAUUCCAGGAUUUGGAAAAGUUUAAUAUUGCUCUGUUGGAAAAACAAGGUUUGUGUUUGAUUAAAAACCUAUUUUCUUUGUUAGCUUGUGCCAUAAAAGCAAAAUAUUACCCACGUGAUUUUAUGCAUGCUAGUUUGAGAGCUUACCCUUCUUACCUAUGGAAGAGUAUCUGGUCUACGAAGGGGUUGUUGCAUAUAGGCCUUUGUUGGCGCGCGGGAACAGGAUCCAAUAUAUGGAUCUUGGAUGAUGUUUGGAUUUCGAGCUUGCCUGAUAGAUGUUUGCAACAAACUGGGGUUAGUUCCCCAUAUUUACUUUUUUCGGAGUUCAUUAGUCAUUAUUCAAGGCAAUAGGACGAGCAAAGACUUACCAGUGUCCUGGGCUGAGCCAUUGCAAAUAGGGUGUUAUGUAUUCCCCUUGCUCAGGAUGCCCAUGAAGACUUCUUAGUUGGGGGGUUGAGCCUUCAGGAAAAUUCUAUGUCUGUAAUGGUUAUAGACUCCUUAUUCUUCGAACUAUUUUGAGACUACAGACUCUUAUAAACUAUUUUACAACAAAUUAUGGUAGUUGUAACUUCCGACAAAAAUCAAAACUAUAGUAUGGCGAAUUUUCAACAAUUUUAUUCCUAACUACUAUAACCUAUAUAACAGAAGAUUGCGGGCAUCCACUAUGUGCCCUUGUGUCUCUGCCGAGACUCUGGAACAUAUUUUUCGCAAUUGCCCUUCGAUUUUGGAUAUUUGGGAGUCCUACACAUUACGUGGCCAAAUGAAUUAUCGGAUGUCUCAUUUCAUGAUUGGCUACUGUAUGUUUUCACUGUGUCUACUGGUGAGGUUAUUUGGGAAAUGGUGUGUACUUUGCGGUUUAUUUGGCAUGCGCGGAAUUGACAGAUUCAUGACAAUGAUAUUAUCCAAAUGCAUUUAAUUGUUCGUAGGGUACAGGUCUAUCUAUUGGAAUAUGACGCGGUAAAUGAGAAGUUACCUGGUUGACUGAUCGGUGUUGAGCGGUGGCGGCCUCCGAAUCUAACAUGUGUAAAAGUGAACUUUGAUGUUGUUUUCCAUGCGUCUGCAAAGACUUCCUGUGCGGGUAUUGUCAUUAGGGAUCAUUUGGGCAUGGUGAUGGGUCCACAAUCAGUGGUCACGUACCUUCGUCUUUUGCUGCAGAGGCCCUGGCUUGCUAUCAUGGAUUCGACUGGUUCUGGGGCUGGGGUUGCAUGAGGCUAUUUUUGAAGGUGAUUCUCUCAUGGCGAUCCGCAAGAUCCUAUCUCCUUAUCAUGAUAUGUCGGCCCUUGGGCCUUACAUCAAAGGUAUCAAUGCAAUGGCUGUGUAGUUUCGUUGGUGUUGAUUCGUGCAUGUUCCCCGAGCUACAAAUCAGGUGGCCCAUCUAUUGGUAGCUGCGAGUCUCCCGGGAGGGGAUCAUGCUUAAUAGGCGGGAGGGGUGCCUCUCUUUGCUUCGACAAUAGUGGAUAAUGAUAGUUGUGCCUUCCGAUCGGAUGAGUGUGGGAGAUGGAGUAUCUUUUUACAAGGAUCUGAUUCGGGGGUGGGGAUUGGAGGUGGGAGGAGCUCAAGAGUUUGUGGAAUCCGCGGGGUUGGGGAAGAGUUUGAUCGUCUCUGUUGGGGUACAGGUUCUCGUUCGUUAAUCAAGCCUCUUGGGUGUGGUAGGUAGUGGUUCGACGAUCUCUUAACGGUUACCGGAGAAGAUUUUCUGAUCUGUCGACAUCAGUGGCGUCCCUUCAGCUUUUUGUUUUCUUUCUAGAAGGUUUAGAUGACAACUCAAAAUUAGGAUUUGGCAUUGCUGUUUUUGCCUUUUGUUUGGGCUGUUUAAUCUGGACUUUUGUUUGGGUUUUUAGGGUUUUUUUUUGGAUUUAUUUUUUUUCUUUGUUUUUGGACUGUUUUCUGUACUAGUUUCGUUUUUAAUCAAAGCCCAGUUUCCUUUAAAAAAAAAUAUUUCAUCAACUAUUUGGUCAUCUUAUUCCUUUCUUAAACUCUCCUUUCUCAUUCGCAAACAGUUGAUUUGAAUUAAAUGUUUGUAUUAAAUUUUCAUUCAUUCAACCACAACUAGAGCAACCCA